CCUACGGGAGGCAGCAGUGGGGAAUAUUGGUCAAUGGGCGAGAGCCUGAACCAGCCAAGUCGCGUGAGGGAGUACUGCCCUAUGGGUUGUAAACCUCUUUUGUCGGGGAGCAAAAGCCGGACGUGUCCGGCUGUGAGAGUACCCGAAGAAAAAGCAUCGGCUAACUCCGUGCCAGCAGCCGCGGUAAUACGGAGGAUGCGAGCGUUAUCCGGAUGUAUUGGGGUUAAAGGGUGCGCAGGCGGAUUUUUAAGUCAGCGGUCAAAUCGUGGGGCUCAACCCCAUCCAGCCGUUGAAACUGGGGAUCUAGAGUGUGCGAGAGGUAUGCGGAAUGCGUGGUGUAGCGGUGAAAUGCAUAGAUAUCACGCAGAACCCCGAUUGCGAAGGCAGCAUACCGGUGCACAACUGACGCUCAGGCACGAAAGCGUGGGUAUCGAACAGGAUUAGAUACCCUGGUAGUC
RNAcentral lists this ribosomal RNA (458 nucleotides) under uncultured bacterium. RNAcentral describes it as "partial 16S ribosomal RNA". It matches the Rfam family "Bacterial small subunit ribosomal RNA", at positions 338 to 795 of the family's 1533-position model. The record is from RNAcentral.